This 699-nucleotide ribosomal RNA is filed under the name Triticum aestivum (bread wheat). Its description in RNAcentral is "partial small subunit ribosomal RNA". Lineage: Eukaryota; Viridiplantae; Streptophyta; Magnoliopsida; Poales; Poaceae. The record is from RNAcentral.
AUGGAAAAGAGAAAAAAGCUCUACUGGACACCUUGUGGUGCACAUUGCUUCGACUUUAUGCUUGAGGAUUUUGAAAAGAAAAUUAAGAUGCAUGCCAUUACAAUCACAAAGGGACGUAAAAUCACUGCUUUCAUCUAUUCUAGGACUAUGCUUAUUGCAUGGUUGAGAGAAUUUACAGAAGGAAAGGAUUUGAUAAGGCCUGCUGUCAGAAGAUUUGCUACAGCUUACUUGACUCUGUCUUGUCUUGAGCAACAUAAAGGUGCACUGAUCAAUAGUUUUAGUUCAGUUAAAUGGAAGGCUAGCCGCUUUGCUUCUUUAAUAGAGGGUAAAAGAGUUCAAGAUAUUAUCAUGGACAGUAAAGGAUUUUGGCCUAAUGUUGUGGCAUGCUUGAGAGCUGCGAUGCCUCUAAUCAAGGUCCUUAGAAUGGUUUAUUCUGAUGACAAGCCAGCCAUGCCAUUUAUCUAUGCUCAGAUGGAGCAAGCAAAGGAGAGGAUAAAGGACAAUUUUAACAAAGUGAAGAAAAGGUACGUUUCAGACCAGAAUAACAUGAGUACGCACUUUUAUUCUAUUUAUCACUACUUUCUUUGUUUCACUGAUUUUUGUCCCAUAUUUUCAGUUAUAUUCGAAUAUGGAAUAUUAUUAAUGAAAGAUGGGAAACACAACUCCAGAGGCCUCUGCAUUCAGCUGCAUAUUAUCUGA